Molecule: unclassified non-coding RNA, 374 nt
Filed under: soil metagenome
Description: partial contains internal transcribed spacer 2 and large subunit ribosomal RNA
Rfam family: 5.8S ribosomal RNA (bases 1-120)
Source: RNAcentral
GAUGAAGAACGUAGCGAAAUGCGAUAAUUAAUGUGAAUUGCAGAAUUCCGUGAAUCAUCGAGUCUUUGAACGCACAUUGCGCCUCAUGGCAUUCCGUGAGGCAUGCCCAUCUCAGCGUUAGAAAAUAUUCUCAAAUUUUAGUUUUGUGCUAAAAUUUGGAUCAUGUCAAAGAAGCUAUUACUAUUAUUGUGAUCGCUCUUUGGAAAUUGAUAGGUCUUUGAGUUGCUACUCAUAGAACGUGAUGAAUCUUUCUUCGUUCUAUUGUAAUUCACUAUGGUAGUCCUAAAACUUGUAUGCCUGUGGCAUAUCUUGUAAUUUGACCUGAGAUUGGGUAGGGAUACCCGCUGAACUUAAGCAUAUCAAUAAGCGGAGGA